ACGGAGGAUGCGAGCGUUAUCCGGAUUUAUUGGGUUUAAAGGGUGCGUAGGUGGACUGUUUAGUCAGUGGUGAAAUGCUGAUGCUCAACGUUAGCAUUGCCGUUGAAACUGACAGUCUUGAGAGUGAUUGAGGCAGGCGGAAUGUGUGGUGUAGGGGAAAAAAACAUAGAAACCACACAGAACCCCGAUGGCGAAGGCAUUUUCCAAAGCCACAACUGACACUGAAGCACGAAAGCGUGGGGAUCAAACAG
RNAcentral lists this ribosomal RNA (251 nucleotides) under uncultured prokaryote. Its description in RNAcentral is "partial 16S rRNA". It matches the Rfam family "Bacterial small subunit ribosomal RNA", at positions 525 to 775 of the family's 1533-position model. The record is from RNAcentral.